RNAcentral lists this signal recognition particle RNA (147 nucleotides) under Gorilla gorilla gorilla (western lowland gorilla). RNAcentral's name for it is "Metazoan signal recognition particle RNA". It matches the Rfam family "Metazoan signal recognition particle RNA". Rfam says of the family: The signal recognition particle (SRP) is a universally conserved ribonucleoprotein. It is involved in the co-translational targeting of proteins to membranes. The record is from Rfam by way of RNAcentral. Lineage: Eukaryota; Metazoa; Chordata; Mammalia; Primates; Hominidae.
GCCGGGUGUGGUGGUGCACACCUGUAGUUCCAGCUACUCGGAGGCUGAGGCAGAAGAAUUGCUUGAACCCGGGAGGCAGAGGCUGCAGUGAGCCGAGAUUGCGCGACUGCACUGCAGCCUGGGUGACAGAGCGAGACUCUGUCUCAA